UUAAUUAAUUAAUUGAUUGUAGAGAGAGAGAGGUGGCUUUUUGUUAGUUCAAGUACGAUAUUUAUUGAAUAAGAGGAAUAUGUACAACCGGAGGAUUGGGUGCUAACAAUGUGCCUCCAUAAAAAUCUUACUGGGAUUUCAACCCAAUCGAUGAGAAAAAAAGUGUCUCACACUAAAAACUUAACCAGUAAUACUAUCCUCAAACAGAAUAUCCAAAAAAGUACAUCGGGAGGUUCCUCAGACCACGAGACCUGGUGUUCUAAUGUCAAACUUAAUCAUUUUUUCUCACCACCCUCAAGUGGAUGAGUUUAAAUUUUAAUAAUUAGGUCUAUUCAAUACACAUAUCUCAAAAUAUAAACACUCACCACUUUAUUUAUCAUUGUGGGAUGAGUUUAAAUUUUAAUAAUUAUGUCUAUUCAUUAGACAGAUCUUGAAAUAUAAAUUCAUUUAAGAGGGAUAAAUAGAGUGAUGAGCAUUACUUGAGGGUAUAUGCAAAAAUUCAUUUUUAAUUUUUAUUCUGAUUGAUUUUUUAUAUCCGUGGAGCACAGACUGGGUCAGAGGGGAUUAAAAUUUUGGUCAAUUUGGUACCGAAUAUUACGAUUGAUAACUGUUACUCCUCCUCAUAUCUCUCGUCACCAACCCCUCUCUGUCUCUCUCAUUAAAUUACCACCAUACUCCUGUGGUGAAUCUCUAUAUAUUCAUGCCCUCCGCCUCUUACCACUCCCUCAGUUUUCUUCAUCUACUUCCCGUUGAGCCUUCAAAUAAUUCCUUUUAUAUUUUCACUUUUCCAUAGCCGGUUCAAGCACAGAGAAGAACUAUAUAAGGCUUUGCCCUUUCUUUUUUUUGCCCUUUUCACCCUGUGGUCCCUGGGUCCAUGUAUAACUAUUCACAUUGCUACCUUUACUUUUUGUAUUUAAAGUCCUUCUCGGUCAUGCCUCCUCUGCCUCUCCUAACUUUUCUCUCUCCAUGGAUUUAGGGUUAGAUCGAUAUCUAGGGUUUCCUUUACCUCCUGUGAAGAUGGGUGUGAUGAUGGAUGC
RNAcentral lists this long non-coding RNA (1037 nucleotides) under Malus domestica (apple). Its description in RNAcentral is "long non-coding RNA (MDOM_LNC001055)". The record is from RNAcentral. Lineage: Eukaryota; Viridiplantae; Streptophyta; Magnoliopsida; Rosales; Rosaceae.